UUGUUCGUCCUCUUCUCUCCUCUUUCCUCAUUUCAUCAGAUUCAAUUCUUUCUCCUUUCAUCUCAAUUCUUCUCUGUUUUUUAUUUUUCUUUUGUAACAAUCAGAGGAGAAUGGUGGUGGUCUGACAAAUUGGACCUUAUUCCUUGUGUAUGUUUACUGAAAUCAAUAUAUCUUGCGAUUAUGGAGCUCUAAUCUCCAUUUUUUUCUUAUGAGUCUAAUGCCUCUCCUGGAUUUAAAGCCAAUGGAACAUCUGAGAGGCAAAGAUGUUGUUGUUUGCACUCCUCCACCACGUCUUCCUGUGCAAAGAAUAAUGGUUACUCCUGCUUCCGCUCCGUUCCAGGUCUGUCUUGGAACCAUUGCUCAGAGGUUUCAUUUUGUAUUCAUGAUUGCUGUUUGUUGUAAUUGUAGAUGCUUUAGCUGUUAACUCUGAUGGUCGUUACUUGACGACUAGAGGAGUUGAUCGCCAUGUUCAUAAGGUCCAAUUUGUCUCAGCUUUUAUGAUUAUGUGUCUACAGGCCUUUACAGGUCACAGGAACAUCUGCCUCUGACUCUUUGCGUUCUAUAUAAUAUAUAUUCUGUAGUUUGUGUAUUGUGUUACAGGAAGGUAGACAAGGCAGAGAAGCUUGAUGGAGGAGAAGGUGGCAAAAGGGGUGAG
Long non-coding RNA from Brassica napus (rape), 655 nucleotides. RefSeq lists it as uncharacterized. The transcript is spliced from 3 exons. NCBI's taxonomy places the organism in Eukaryota, Viridiplantae, Streptophyta, Magnoliopsida, Brassicales, Brassicaceae. The record is from RefSeq and is a predicted model, not a curated record.